AGAGCGAACGCUGGCGGCAGGCCUAACACAUGCAAGUCGAGCGCCCCGCAAGGGGAGCGGCAGACGGGAGAGUAACACGUGGGAACGUACCCUUUGGUUCGGAACAACACAGGGAAACUUGUGCUAAUACCGGAUAAGCCCUUACGGGGAAAGAUUUAUUGCCAAAGGAUCGGCCCGCGUCUGAUUAGCUUGUUGGUGAGGUAACGGCUCACCAAGGCUACGAUCAGUAGCUGGUCUGAGAGGAUGACCAGCAUCACUGGGACUGAGACACGGCCCAGACUCCUACGGGAGGCAGCAGUGGGGAAUAUUGGACAAUGGGCGCAAGCCUGAUCCAGCCAUGCCGCGUGGAUGAUGAAGGCCUUAGGGUUGUAAAGUCCUUUUAACGGGAGGUAAUGACGGUACCGUAGAAUAGCCCCGGCUAACUUCGUGCCAGCAGCCGC
This 440-nucleotide ribosomal RNA is filed under the name uncultured bacterium. Its description in RNAcentral is "SSU rRNA". It matches the Rfam family "Bacterial small subunit ribosomal RNA", at positions 26 to 518 of the family's 1533-position model. The record is from RNAcentral.